GUUGUACUUUCUGUUGUUGUCUCAGCUGUGGUGCUUUCAGUUGUUGUUGAAGUUUCUGCUGUUGUACUUUCUAAAGUUGUGGUACCAAUGGUGGUGCUUUCUGUUGUUGUAGUAUCGAUUGUGGUGCUGUCUGUUGUUAUUGUUGUCUCUGCUGUUGUAGUUUCUGGUGUUGUGGCAACGGAGGUUGUACUUUCUGUUGUUGUCUCAGUUGUGGUGCUUUCAGUUGUUGUUGAAGUUUCUGCUGUUGUACUUUCUAAAGUUGUGGUACCGAUGGUUGUACUUUCUGUUGUUGUCUCAGUUGUGAUGCUGUCUGUUGUUAUUGUUGUUUCUGCUGUUGUACUUUCUGGUGUUGUGGUACCGGAGGUUGUACUUUCUGUUGUUGU
Molecule: long non-coding RNA, 383 nt
Organism: Cyprinus carpio carpio
Lineage: Eukaryota; Metazoa; Chordata; Actinopteri; Cypriniformes; Cyprinidae
Source: Ensembl